ACGGAGGGUCCAAGCGUUAUCCGGAAUCAUUGGGUUUAAAGGGUUCGCAGGCGGUCCAAUAAGUCAGUGGUGAAAUCUCUCGGCUCAACCGAGAAACUGCCAUUGAUACUGUUAGACUUGAAUAUAGUUGGAGUAGGCGGAAUGUGUAGUGUAGCGGUGAAAUGCUUAGAUAUUACACAGAACACCGAUAGCGAAGGCAGCUUACUAAACUAUAAUUGACGCUCAUGAACGAAAGCGUGGGGAGCGAACAGG
This 252-nucleotide ribosomal RNA is filed under the name uncultured bacterium. RNAcentral describes it as "partial 16S ribosomal RNA". It matches the Rfam family "Bacterial small subunit ribosomal RNA", at positions 525 to 776 of the family's 1533-position model. The record is from RNAcentral.